GUCUUUUCUGGUCACCUAUCAUGUGUAGUGGUUAGUGACGCUGUCUGCUGUGCUGUAGAGCCCGGGUUUGAAUCCCGGAGAAGACA
Molecule: non-coding RNA, 86 nt
Organism: Trichonephila clavipes
Lineage: Eukaryota; Metazoa; Arthropoda; Arachnida; Araneae; Nephilidae
Source: the annotation of a GenBank genome assembly